Molecule: ribosomal RNA, 251 nt
Filed under: uncultured bacterium
Lineage: Bacteria
Description: partial 16S ribosomal RNA
Rfam family: Bacterial small subunit ribosomal RNA
Source: RNAcentral
ACGUAGGGUGCAAGCGUUGUCCGGAAUUACUGGGUGUAAAGGGAGCGCAGGCGGACCGGCAAGUUGGAAGUGAAAACUAUGGGCUCAACCCAUAAAUUGCUUUCAAAACUGCUGGCCUUGAGUAGUGCAAAGGUAGGUGGAAUUCCCGGUGUAGCGGUGGAAUGCGUAGAUAUCGGGAGGAACACCAGUGGCGAAGGCGACCUACUGGGCACCAACUGACGCUGAGGCUCGAAAGCAUGGGUAGCAAACAG